Molecule: ribosomal RNA, 1372 nt
Filed under: uncultured bacterium
Lineage: Bacteria
Description: bacterial SSU rRNA
Rfam family: Bacterial small subunit ribosomal RNA
Source: RNAcentral
GAUAAACGCUGGCGGCGUGCCUAAUACAUGCAAGUCGAGCGAACGGACGAGAAGCUUGCUUCUCUGAUGUUAGCGGCGGACGGGUGAGUAACACGUGGAUAACCUACCUAUAAGACUGGGAUAACUUCGGGAAACCGGAGCUAAUACCGGAUAAUAUUUUGAACCGCAUGGUUCAAAAGUGAAAGACGGUCUUGCUGUCACUUAUAGAUGGAUCCGCGCUGCAUUAGCUAGUUGGUAAGGUAACGGCUUACCAAGGCAACGAUGCAUAGCCGACCUGAGAGGGUGAUCGGCCACACUGGAACUGAGACACGGUCCAGACUCCUACGGGAGGCAGCAGUAGGGAAUCUUCCGCAAUGGGCGAAAGCCUGACGGAGCAACGCCGCGUGAGUGAUGAAGGUCUUCGGAUCGUAAAACUCUGUUAUUAGGGAAGAACAUAUGUGUAAGUAACUGUGCACAUCUUGACGGUACCUAAUCAGAAAGCCACGGCUAACUACGUGCCAGCAGCCGCGGUAAUACGUAGGUGGCAAGCGUUAUCCGGAAUUAUUGGGCGUAAAGCGCGCGUAGGCGGUUUUUUAAGUCUGAUGUGAAAGCCCACGGCUCAACCGUGGAGGGUCAUUGGAAACUGGAAAACUUGAGUGCAGAAGAGGAAAGUGGAAUUCCAUGUGUAGCGGUGAAAUGCGCAGAGAUAUGGAGGAACACCAGUGGCGAAGGCGACUUUCUGGUCUGUAACUGACGCUGAUGUGCGAAAGCGUGGGGAUCAAACAGGAUUAGAUACCCUGGUAGUCCACGCCGUAAACGAUGAGUGCUAAGUGUUAGGGGGUUUCCGCCCCUUAGUGCUGCAGCUAACGCAUUAAGCACUCCGCCUGGGGAGUACGACCGCAAGGUUGAAACUCAAAGGAAUUGACGGGGACCCGCACAAGCGGUGGAGCAUGUGGUUUAAUUCGAAGCAACGCGAAGAACCUUACCAAAUCUUGACAUCCUUUGACAACUCUAGAGAUAGAGCCUUCCCCUUCGGGGGACAAAGUGACAGGUGGUGCAUGGUUGUCGUCGGCUCGUGUCGUGAGAUGUUGGGUUAAGUCCCGCAACGAGCGCAACCCUUAAGCUUAGUUGCCAUCAUUAAGUUGGGCACUCUAAGUUGACUGCCGGUGACAAACCGGAGGAAGGUGGGGAUGACGUCAAAUCAUCAUGCCCCUUAUGAUUUGGGCUACACACGUGCUACAAUGGACAAUACAAAGGGCAGCGAAACCGCGAGGUCAAGCAAAUCCCAUAAAGUUGUUCUCAGUUCGGAUUGUAGUCUGCAACUCGACUACAUGAAGCUGGAAUCGCUAGUAAUCGUAGAUCAGCAUGCUACGGUGAAUACGUUCCCGGGUCU